UGGUGGAGACUGCCUCGGAAGCAGGACAGCCGUCUGCCCCGCACGCUGCAUGCAGCGCGGUGGCCUGCGUCCUUCCAGGGAGGAGCGCCACCCCCCUCCCUUGGUGUUGCACUCCCAGAUCCUUGUGUGGCCCAGGGCCUGCACUCUGGCAGGGCCUUCAUCCCGCAAAGGGCGAAGACCAGGGCCAGGUGGUCAAAUCCCAAAUCCUGGGUGGACCACAGGCUGACGGUGCCAUUUGCAGGACCAGGGAUUCUAGUGGGCCCGUUUAGGAGGUCCCACCAAGUAUCACAGGCCAGAAACUCCGGGGCCUUCUCCACCUGGUCCACCUGAGCUGUAGCCGAGGCCACUUGGUCGACUCCCCACAGGGCUUGUUGACCUGACCCACACUUCUCCGCGCAUGCGCCUGCCGCUCAGAUUCCAUCCAGCCCUGGUUGGACUAGAGCGGCCCGGCUGGCAGGGUGUUCCAGGCUUGGAGCGCGGUGCCUGGCAAACCCAGGGCAGUUCUCUGUCCUCCAGAGAAGUCUGCCGAAGUUUUCAAGGUGAAGCAUCUGAGCCCACAGAUUUGGAGCCCAGAGCAGCGUGGGCAGGGAGAGCUGCCGUCUGGAAUGUCAGGAAUUCCUGGGGACAUCUGGUCCGCUCUGCAUCUGCUCUUCCCGGCCAGGCCAGCCGGCAUUCUUCAUCCUCUUCAUCCGGGGAGUGAGGCUUCUCGCCGUGGGCUUGGAUACACGGGGGCCUCUUUGAUCCUCGCCUCCUGCCUCAGCCCUGACUUGGAUGACUUUGAGUGCCAUAUUUGAUGUCCCUCGCCCUCACCUCUUCUAUAAACGGGUGAUGAGUUCCGCCAGGCCUGGAAUUUACAGACCAGGAUCCGGAAGAAACAGAACAAGAGGGACUCCUUUCCAAAGCCAAGAAGGGUCCCUAAACCCCUAGGAUAGAACGAACCUUCCUUACAGACUCCCUGAGGUCUUUGCUCCUCCGUUAGAGCCCCUUGAGGGUAAGGGUGGUAGUUUCUGCCUUUGGGCACCUGCUUCCAGUUUUGAAUCCGUGUAUGUAUCUGUCACUUCUCUGUGCCACAGCUGGACCAGACCAGCGUUCCCCAAAGGAAUUUAAACAAGGGAACAGCCCCUGAGGAGGAGUUGGCCACUGCCUGCUAGUUCUUUGGGCUUUGGAGAUGCGGAACCAGGAGGGAGGAAGAGGUGCAAAGGCCCGGGGCACGAGUGGGCAUGGCCAGGAUGGACGCGGAGGGAGGGAGGCGGCCGGUGGCUGUGGGAGUGUGGCCCUGUGUGGGGUGUCAGAGCCGGAGGGUGUGUGUGUGUGCAUGCGCGUGUGAGCACGCAUGUGUGUGCACGUGUGCGUGUGCGUGAACACGUCCGAGGUGGGGAAUGCUGACCAGCUGGGCUCCAAGGUCGUCUAACCUGGAGCCCGUAACCCACAGGGAUUCUGCCGCUGACUCCACCAGCGAGUGAGUGGGGUGUCGCCACAAACUUCGGAAACAGAAUCUCAACGAGGACUGAUAAUUCAUCAAAGCAGACCGUAUCUGGCUUAAAAUGAGGGCCGCGUUCAUGGAAAACGAAACAAGCAGGCAGGAGAAUGAGAUCGUUUGUAUGUUUACUAUGGUACAGCAAGAUUUUCCACACCAGAGCCAAGGUCCUCUGCCGCCCACAGAGGCUCUGAGCACACCCACCACCCACGACAUUUAAGACAAUUCUUCGUUUCUCUGACAAUGACUUCUCCAAGUGCAUAUAUAAUAAAUAAAUAGAAAAUA
Non-coding RNA from Leptonychotes weddellii (Weddell seal), 1762 nucleotides. The record is from RefSeq and is a predicted model, not a curated record. Lineage: Eukaryota; Metazoa; Chordata; Mammalia; Carnivora; Phocidae.